This 362-nucleotide ribosomal RNA is filed under the name uncultured Thermus sp. Its description in RNAcentral is "bacterial SSU rRNA". It matches the Rfam family "Bacterial small subunit ribosomal RNA", at positions 1019 to 1382 of the family's 1533-position model. The record is from RNAcentral. Lineage: Bacteria; Thermotogati; Deinococcota; Deinococci; Thermales; Thermaceae.
GCAGGGGAGCCCUAGCACAGGUGCUGCAUGGCCGUCGUCAGCUCGUGCCGUGAGGUGUUGGGUUAAGUCCCCGCAACGAGCGCAACCCCGCCGUUAGUGCCAGCGGUUCGGCCGGGCACUCUAACGGGACUGCCCGCGAAAGCGGGAGGAAGAGGGGACGACGUCUGGUCAGCAUGGCCCUUACGGCCUGGGCGACACACGUGCUACAAUGCCCACUACAAAGCGAUGCCACCCGGCAACGGGGAGCUAAUCGCAAAAAGGUGGGCCCAGUUCGGAUUGGGGUCUGCAACCCGACCCCAUGAAGCCGGAAUCGCUAGUAAUCGCGGAUCAGCCAUGCCGCGGUGAAUACGUUCCCGGGCCUU